AUGUCACCUACAGCACCCUUAGUCUCAACUCAGCCAGAAACUUUAAUGCAAAGGAAAAGUCUGGAUUGGUUUCACAGGCCUUUUAAAAAGCGGACUUAAAAGUUGCUGGCAAUGCAUUCCUUUUCGUCAGAGUCGAGGGGCAAGCUCUCGCUGAAGUCUGGGUGACCUGUGUCCUUUUCCGGAGAGCGGACUGGAGAAGCGAGAGCCGCAGCCAGUUCAGCAGGAAAUUUGUUGGAAGAUGAAGAAACUGAGAUAGGGGGUUGGUGACUUCCACAGGAAAAGUUCUGGAGGACCAUCCAAAGACGAUCAACGUUUCCUUUUUGUGCAGGAAUGAAAAUGGAUUUAGUAUUGUGGACCCUCUGCCGCAUCCCUGUGAAUAUUUCUGUUUAAGUUUUUUUUUCUUGAAAAGAAAUUAUUAUUCAGCCAGGAAAAUAUACUUUAAAUCAAGGAACUUUUGGGUAGCAUUGCAAUUAUAUUACUUUGAGUUGAUAAACUGAGAAAAUAAUUGGAACUCCUGUUUACAUGUGUCAACUUAAAAAAAAAAAACUGCUUCCUUUUGUUACUGAAGAUCUCUUUUUGUAUUUGACCUCAAUUACUGACUUGUGGAGAUGAAGUGAAUGUGAAACCCCACCGUAUACCAUUUUCCUUCUAAGCUAACUGACCGUUCUGGAAUAUCUUGAAUCCUCUUCUGGCAAGGGGUCCCUAUUAUUACUUUAUGGGGCAGCAGCCUGGAAAAGUUCUUGGGGACCAAAGAAGGCCAAGUUUGCCUGCCCUGCACUUUAUCAAAGGAGCAGGGAAGAAGGAAUCACCGAGGCAUGGGGGUCCACACUGCAAUGUGUUUGUGGAACAUGGUGAGUUCUUUUUCAAGAUUUCUGGUUGUGUUUUUCCUUAUGUGCACAACUUAGGCCAUUAAGGAGCUUUUGAGCAACAGUGCUUGUGUCAGUUCCUUCCAUUUCUACUUAAGACUUUUGUUACUGUAGUUA
This is a long non-coding RNA of Nycticebus coucang (slow loris), 983 nucleotides long. RefSeq lists it as uncharacterized. Lineage: Eukaryota; Metazoa; Chordata; Mammalia; Primates; Lorisidae. The record is from RefSeq and is a predicted model, not a curated record. The transcript has a single exon.